Molecule: long non-coding RNA, 1100 nt
Organism: Gasterosteus aculeatus aculeatus (three-spined stickleback)
Lineage: Eukaryota; Metazoa; Chordata; Actinopteri; Perciformes; Gasterosteidae
Source: Ensembl
GCCGUCUACACCUGCGGACUCCUCAGCCAAAGAGCUCUACUGCAGACUGUUGGGUCAUUGCCAAAUCAAGGGUUGCAACACAAACCGGGUCACCGCGGCGAUUGACCCCGCUGAGGAGCCAGAGGAGAGGCUGGAGACGGACCCGGACACAAAGCAGGCGCCGACAGAGGAACCCAACGGAAGCACUGACAAAUGAGAGGAUGAAAAUCAUCAUAGCAACGCAAGUUAAGCUCCACUCAAAAUUGGCCUGUCCGGGGGUGAAGGAGGGCUUGUCAGCUGCAGGAGGAGGCGACGAUGCACUGUCCAUCAAUCCGUGUGUCGUCUGGGCCUCGCCCCCCCCACACACACACACACACAAAAUACACAGCCUCCAGAAAAGAUCCAGCACUAAUCACCACAUUGCAGGAACCUUAUUAAAAAAAUACUCAUUGAAAUACAGCGUUGUGUUGUUGAGUACCUGUGUUGCCUUUAUGUUCCUUUCCAGCCUUUUGUUUAGAUCUUUUUUUAAAGCCCCCCUGUGGCGUACUUGCAUUGCCUUUGUUUGGUUUUCACAGUCCCUAUAUGUUCAUUCUCCUCCUCCUCCUCAUCCUCCAAUGCAGCGUUCACACACCUCUGGUCAGGGAUGAUGGUUGCAACGCUCUCUUUCAAACGCUUCCAACUCUGCUGCAGGCCGAAGCAGGAGCCCUUAAAGAUAGUCAGCUUAGGUUUCAGCCGUCGGUACCUCGCAGCUCUCAGACUAGAUAGUACCGUACGCUGUGCAUAUCAGAGGCACCGAGUACUUUACACAGCAAAAUAAUGAAACGAUGCCAGGAGUUCCGGCCCUCUGCAGUCCACCAGGGGGCGUGCGCGAAUGGCAAAGCAGUUCCCUCGGCCGCCACCAGGGAGCAGAAGUGAUCUUCCCAGAUCGCCAGGAGACGAGGACAUUUAAUCUGAAAUAUAGGUUGUAAGUUUAUUACCAGCUAGUGAAUAGAGCUGGAAUGGAAUAACCAUUUCACAAAGCCAUAUCAAAAAAAUACCAAUCUCGGAGGCAGCGGGAAAUUACAUGAAAAUAUUACCAUUACACAAAUGGAAAGUAUGAUUGAAUAAUGUGCUGCAGAAGA